CAUGCAGUCGAGGGGCAGCAUGGUCUUAGCUUGCUAAGGCCGAUGGCGACCGGCGCACGGGUGAGUAACGCGUAUCCAACCUGCCUUACACUCUUGGACAGCCUUCUGAAAGGGAGAUUAAUACAAGAUGUUAUCAUGAGUAAGCAUUUUCGCAUGAUUAAAGGUUUACCGGUGUAAGAUGGGGAUGCGUUCCAUUAGAUAGUAGGCGGGGUAACGGCCCACCUAGUCUUCGAUGGAUAGGGGUUCUGAGAGGAAGGUCCCCCACAUUGGAACUGAGACACGGUCCAAACUCCUACGGGAGGCAGCAGUGAGGAAUAUUGGUCAAUGGACGAGAGUCUGAACCAGCCAAGUAGCGUGAAGGAUGAAGGUUCUAUGGAUUGUAAACUUCUUUUAUACGGGAAUAAACGAAUCCACGCGUGGAUUUUUGCAUGUACCGUAUGAAUAAGGAUCGGCUAACUCCGUGCCAGCAGCCGCGGUAAUACGGAGGAUCCGAGCGUUAUCCGGAUUUAUUGGGUUUAAAGGGAGCGUAGAUGGGUUGUUAAGUCAGUUGUGAAAGUUUGCGGCUCAACCGUAAAAUUGCAAUUGAUACUGGCAGUCUUGAGUACAGUUGAGGUAGGCGGAAUUCGUGGUGUAGCGGUGAAAUGCUUAGAUAUCACGAAGAACUCCGAUUGCGAAGGCAGCUUACUAACCUGUAACUGACAUUGAUGCUCGAAAGUGUGGGUAUCAAACAGGAUUAGAUACCCUGGUAGUCCACACGGUAAACGAUGAAUACUCGCUGUAGGCGAUAUACGGUCUGCGGCCAAGCGAAAGCAUUAAGUAUUCCACCUGGGGAGUACGCCGGCAACGGUGAAACUCAAAGGAAUUGACGGGGGCCCGCACAAGCGGAGGAACAUGU
This 895-nucleotide ribosomal RNA is filed under the name uncultured bacterium. RNAcentral describes it as "bacterial SSU rRNA". It matches the Rfam family "Bacterial small subunit ribosomal RNA", at positions 54 to 942 of the family's 1533-position model. The record is from RNAcentral.